Molecule: long non-coding RNA, 218 nt
Filed under: Elaeis guineensis (African oil palm)
Lineage: Eukaryota; Viridiplantae; Streptophyta; Magnoliopsida; Arecales; Arecaceae
Description: long non-coding RNA (EGUI_LNC020317)
Source: RNAcentral
CCAGGGGAGGAGGUGGUCACGGCUAGUGAGGUCGUACUCCUCGAUGAGGUUGGAGAGGUCUUCAUCGGAGGUGAUGAAGAUCAAGACGUCGAGGUCCUCCAUCGACUGCAAGAGAACUUGUAAGGGCCGGGACAUGAGUGUUGGGGCAGGGAGGGUGGUAGGGGAGGAGGGUGGGGGGGCGGAGCCGAUCAUCAUCACUGCGAAAGAAAGGGUGGCAG